CGAUUGCACUGCUGCCUUGCAGCAAAUAAAGUCUUGGGUUUGAAUCCCGGCCUGGUUCUUUUUGCAUGGGGUUUGCAUGUUCUCCAUCUCUAAUGUAUUUC
Molecule: long non-coding RNA, 101 nt
Organism: Xiphophorus couchianus (Monterrey platyfish)
Lineage: Eukaryota; Metazoa; Chordata; Actinopteri; Cyprinodontiformes; Poeciliidae
Exons: 3
Source: RefSeq, a predicted model, not a curated record